This 1361-nucleotide long non-coding RNA is filed under the name Homo sapiens (human). RNAcentral's name for it is "long independently transcribed non-coding RNA 1911, transcript variant 7 (LINC01911)". The record is from RNAcentral. Lineage: Eukaryota; Metazoa; Chordata; Mammalia; Primates; Hominidae.
ACUGGAUAACUGAAUUCUAGAAUUCAAGCCUGAUGUCAUAGUUCCAUGAGAAUUUUAUGAGAAGGAAAAGGAUGUUGUACAUGGGCAGAAAGGUGAAAAUUGUGGCCAGAGGCAGAUUGUGGUAAAUUACAAAAUUGGCUCAUAAUCCUUUAUUCCUUCUUGCCUCCAUGCUCUUUGCAAUGUGACUUUGCCACUUUUCUCAUUAAGAGAUGGAUUCUGUUCUCCAUUGCCUUCUGUCUGGACUGGUCUUGUAACUUGUUCUGGUUAAUACAGAGGUAAAUGUGAUGACACAUCAGAAGCCCAGGCCUCAAGCAAGCUUUCCCACUUGUUCUCUUGGAACCCUUCCCAGCUAUCAGACACUACUGGCAAAGACAUUGAAAAGAAUCACACUGCUAAACCAGUAGCAGCUUUUAUCUUCUUCUCAGAUUGUAUACAUGCAGGAUAAAAGUGUUUCUAACACAUAGACUUCUAUAUUCCAGCAUAAAGAUGUAUUAGGCGCAUUUAUACUUUUACAUCGAAGCCUGUUUCAACAUGAACGGAGCCCAGGGAAGUUGGUGACUUAAUCCUCGUUAUACCCUGAUUUUGGACAAAUUUUACAAGAAGAAUAGGACUUCUACUUCUCUAUGUCUACAUGCACCUGGAACAGUGCUAGGUCUAUGCUUACAAAUUGAUUGGUUCAGGUCACCGCCAUGAGCCUCAGGACAGAAAAUUGCCGGAUAUGAGAGAGAGAGAGAGAUUUGACUGGGCUAAGAAAGAAAUGAACACGAUUUAGAGAUGGAAAUGGUGACAUAUGGGCCUUUGAAGCCUCCCAUGUUCCAGAGAAGGUGAGGUUUCACCAUGUUAGUCAGGAUGGUCUCGAUCUCCUGACCUCGUGACCUGCCCAGCUCGGCCUCCCAAAGUGCUGGGAUUACAGGCAUGAGCCAUUGCGCCUAACCUCAGAAACCAUUUUUAUAACCUCAAUACCUAAUAGAAACUGGCACAUGGCCAGCUUGAUGGCACAGCGGGGAGUGAGGAAGACUCGGUGGACAAAUCUGACUGGAAAACAAGUAGGCGUUGCAGAUGAAGACCUGGAACCAUGGUAGGAAGUGGGACAGGGAGCAUUUGGACAAGCUGUUCAAGAACUGAUCAUGCUCAUGUGUAUGGGAAAACAGAUGGAGGAAGAGAAAUUCCUGAAGAGCACAAGACUGGUGGGGCAAGGAACAAGCCUACUGAGAUGAGUUGCAGAUUUGAAGAUGGGAGAAAUGGUUUCGUUGUCUACCAUGUAAAAACUCAUUUAUGCAAGAUGCUUGAUAUCUGAAUUUCAAUUUCUUCAUUAUCAAAAUGAAUAUUAAAAAUACUCUACUUCUUAGAGUUGUCAAAAA